Molecule: long non-coding RNA, 3116 nt
Organism: Aegilops tauschii subsp. strangulata
Lineage: Eukaryota; Viridiplantae; Streptophyta; Magnoliopsida; Poales; Poaceae
Source: RefSeq, a predicted model, not a curated record
UCUCUCCGUCGACGGCAUGCUCCGUCCAUGAUUUUCCACCCACCCGAGUACUCCUACCGGUGAAUCUCGCCGCUGCAAGGCCGUAGGGGGGCCACACGGUGCUGCGAGCUCCACUCCCUCCCUCCUUGCUCCCUUCCCCCAUCCUUCAUGGAUCCCAACACCAUGCUGGGCAGUUGCUGUGAGGCGUGCUGCGACGUCGCCGCCGUGCUUGCAAGCCGGUGCGACAUCGCCGUCGUGCUGCGACAAUCCGCGUCGAGGUUGUUGCGAGUCGCUGCUGCGAAUGGCGCCAGUCAACGAUGCUUGCAACAGGUGGUGCUGCGACGGAUGUUGUCAUGCUCUGACGACAUCUCGGCCACGACGACGUUACUGCGAUGGAUUUUGCAAUGGAUGCUGCGACAACGCUGUCGUGCUCCGACGACAUCGACGAAUGCUACGACGGAUGUUGCUUCGGUGGCUCGGGCUACUCUGACGAUGCUGCGACGGCUUGCUGCGACGGCGCCACCGUGCUGUGAGCCGGUGGCCAAGCCAUCGGAGUUGCUGUGACGGCGGAGUGCCUGUGAGCUGAUGUUGCCGGCGUCCUGUGAUGCACUGGAGUUUGCUUCGCAUGCGAGAAAUGUGUGUGCGACGUUCUGCAAUGAGAAGAAAGAAGAGAGAAGACUAUGUUACGUUGACUUCCAUCGAAAGGCUAGGAAAGUCCAGAUCGUAUGGUCCAGAAGUUGUUUUGCUUUCCUGCAUUCGGAUGCCGCCUAGCAGCGGCCAAACCUAGCCCUGCUCUGUACCGCCACCCGACCUGCGCGCCGCCACCCCCGACCUGCGCGCCGCCGGCACAACCCGCCCGCCGGUCCCCUCGCACCACCACCGACCCCCGGUCUCCCUUCGCUUAGCCCGCAGUAGCAGAAGAGCCGUCCACGACGAAGGAGCAUCGCCCGCCACCGAGGAGCAGCAGCGCCAUCCGCCGCCAAGGAUCCCCCGCGCCGGGAAGCAGCAGGACCGUCCGCCCAAGGAUCCCCCGCGCCGGGAAGCAGCAGGACCGUCCGCCCAAGGAUCCGCGGCCCCGACGGCUGCUGAGGAGCCGCCCGCCAUUCUUCUUCCAACAUAGGCAACGCCUGUCCCGGUUGACUCCAGUUACCUAGCACCUCCUCCAGAUCUUAACUGGUAGGAUGCAAAAAUUUCCAUGUGCUGGCUACAUAUCCAGUUAUAUCUGUUCAUGCCUGUGAUUUUUCUUCACGAGCUUUUCAUAUUUAGAACUUCAUAUACCAGAGAUGCAAAUUUGCAGAAACUGUAAUGUAGAUAUAGUAGUCCUGGAGAAAGAACGAACUCCAUAAUAUAUUAGGUUAUUCUGUAUAUUUCCUAGUUUCAGUGAGCCAUCUGAAUCUCUUAAAAGCGUUUCAGUGUGCCUAUGAGAGUAGAACCACAUAAUGUUUCAUAGUACAAUGUUCAAUGUACUCCCUCCGUAAACUAAUGUAAGAGCGUUUAGAUCACUACUUUAGUGUUCUAAACGCUCUUAUAUUAGUUUACAGAGGGAGUAUUUGUGGGCAUCAAGCUGUGAGUAAUAUAUUUGAUCAUGUUUCAACUCUGUAUGUGCAAUAAGACUAGCUAAGAGAGAAAAUUACAUUUCCUGCUAAAUGAUCAUCACUUAUACAUGACUUUUUGAAGCUAGGGUGUAUGGAAUCAGAUGGUAGACAAACUCAUUCUGCAAAUUGACUAUUAUUCAGAAUGGUGCCGUGAUUUGAUUUUGUCGUAUCCUAGUCCAACUUAUCUAGCAUUGCAGCAGCUGCCUACAUGAUGGGGGCCCCUGAACAUACCUGCGCCGUUUAUCUGUAAAAUCUGGUUCAACUUUUGCUGCUGUAUUUAGCUUGCUUGUCUCACAUGCGUGUUUCUUGAGUUCGAGUGACAAAGUAAAACUGAUUUGAUUUUAUUGGAGGUUCCCAACAUAGUUUUUCCUUUUUUCAUAUUUUUUUUGUUAAACUGAUUUGAUUUUAUGCCCGCUUUACGUAUUGUGUUUCUUCUUAAAUUGACUCAGAUUCUGAUAUUGCCUACACCAAGGCACAAUGAUGAAUUCUAGGAAGGAUGCUCAUGGUACACAACAUCCUUACUUCGUAUUCACCUAUCUGAAUGCUGUACAGCAUCAAUGCUUUGUUAAUGCUAAGUCCCUUGAUUGAUUUUGUGUGCAGAAAGGAAAGGCUAUGUUGUCUUAACAAGGAUGAAAAGUAUAACAACAUACACAAACCAACGUGGACAACCCAGAUCUGUUAAAUUGUUUAUGUCAUUUAAGUUGUCUCUAGCAUUUGCUAUAAUGCAUAAAAUCCUGGUAUGGGUUAAAUUGCUAAACCUUCAAAACUGCUCAUUGGAGUGAGGACGUGGUCGGACAUUCACCCUACCAUCCACAGACUCAUUGUUGCAUAUCAUAGUGCAUACAACCUUUUUCACAUGUGUUAUCUUAUUUUACCAUGGAUAAUGCAUUGCUUAUGUAUAUUCAUUUGUUGUCUGCUUUACAGGACAGAUGGGACCUGGAAGAUACACCAGAAACAGAAGAAAAAGUUCUUAAAAUUGCGAAAGAGCGAUAUAGAGGCUGGCGAUCAACUGCAAGCUCCACUUACAAGGCAUACAAAACAGAUGCAGCUAGAUUGGCUAAUCUGCCGGAAGAUUUACAAUCAGAAGAGUGGGAAUGGAUGAUUGACUACUUUGUCACUGAUUCAUAAUUUCAGGAACGCAGCCGAAAGAACACUGGUAAUCGUAAGAAAUAGAAGACAACACACAGAAUUGGAUCAAAACCUUACUCGCAACUAAGUUUUGAGAAGAGAAACUUGAAAACUGGAGAAGAGCCGGAUUGGAUUGCUCUGUGGGAACACACCCACACAAAGAAUGGAACAUGGUCUAACAGAGUCCCAGGAUGUCUAUGAUCCAAAGAACUAGCUCGACUGGACUCUAGAUCACAGACAAUUUAGUCUUGGCACUUAAUUAGGAUGGCUAAAUUACAUUUGAGUUUUAUUUGAUGGAUAUUUGCUAUGAGAAUUAUGAAUUUUAUGAAUCUACAUAUUAUACGUAUGGUUUUGAAUAUUGUAAUUAAAUGCUUGUAUUUUUUUCAAGUUGCAAUAUGCUAUUGCCACAACCCA